RNAcentral lists this ribosomal RNA (449 nucleotides) under uncultured bacterium. RNAcentral describes it as "partial 16S ribosomal RNA". It matches the Rfam family "Bacterial small subunit ribosomal RNA", at positions 29 to 523 of the family's 1533-position model. The record is from RNAcentral.
AACGAACGCUGGCGGCAGGCUUAACACAUGCAAGUCGAACGCAUCCUUCGGGGUGAGUGGCAGACGGGUGAGUAACGCGUGGGAACGUGCCCUUCAGUUCGGGAUAACCCAGGGAAACUUGGGCUAAUACCGGAUACGUGCGAGAGCAGAAAGAUUUAUCGCUGAAGGAUCGGCCCGCGUCUGAUUAGCUAGUUGGUGGGGUAAUGGCCCACCAAGGCGACGAUCAGUAGCUGGUCUGAGAGGAUGAUCAGCCACAUUGGGACUGAGACACGGCCCAAACUCCUACGGGAGGCAGCAGUGGGGAAUAUUGGACAAUGGGCGCAAGCCUGAUCCAGCCAUGCCGCGUGAGUGAUGAAGGCCUUAGGGUUGUAAAGCUCUUUCGUCCGGGACGAUAAUGACGGUACCGGAAGAAGAAGCCCCGGCUAACUUCGUGCCAGCAGCCGCAUACA